This 74-nucleotide transfer RNA is filed under the name Rummeliibacillus stabekisii. It matches the Rfam family "tRNA". Rfam says of the family: Transfer RNA (tRNA) molecules are approximately 80 nucleotides in length. Their secondary structure includes four short double-helical elements and three loops (D, anti-codon, and T loops). Lineage: Bacteria; Bacillati; Bacillota; Bacilli; Caryophanales; Caryophanaceae. The record is from Rfam by way of RNAcentral. RNAcentral also lists the same sequence under 3 other names.
GCCCUUAUAGCUCAGUAGGAUAGAGCAAAAGUUUCCUAAACUUUAGGUCGCAGGUUCGAAUCCUGUUAAGGGCA